Small nucleolar RNA from Prosopis cineraria, 90 nucleotides. The record is from RefSeq and is a predicted model, not a curated record. Lineage: Eukaryota; Viridiplantae; Streptophyta; Magnoliopsida; Fabales; Fabaceae.
GUGGAGGCAAUGAUGUUUUGAACUACCUAUUUUAUGAGGGAAUUUUCCCUUGUGAUUACAAAAGUACCAAUGGAUCCUUCUGAGCCUUCA